CCUACGGGCGGCAGCAGUGAGGAAUAUUGGUCAAUGGACGAGAGUCUGAACCAGCCACGUAGCGUGAAGGAUGACUGCCCUAUGGGUUGUAAACUUCUUUUAUAAAGGAAUAAAACGAGGCACGUGUGCCUUUUUGCAUGUACUUUAUGAAUAAGGAUCGGCUAACUCCGUGCCAGCAGCCGCGGUAAUACGGAGGAUGCGAGCGUUAUCCGGAUUGAUUGGGUUUAAAGGGAGCGUAGAUGGGUUGUUAAGUCAGUUGUGAAAGUUUGCGGCUCAACCGUAAAAUUGCAAUUGAUACUGGCAGUCUUGAGUACAGGUGAGGUAGGCGGAAUUCGUGGUGUAGCGGUGAAAUGCUUAGAUAUCACGAAGAACCCCGAUUGUGAAGGCAGCUUACUAAACUGUGACUGACAUUGAUGCUCGAAAGUGUGGGUAUCAAACAGGAUUAGAUACCCGAGUAGUC
This 460-nucleotide ribosomal RNA is filed under the name uncultured bacterium. RNAcentral's name for it is "partial 16S ribosomal RNA". It matches the Rfam family "Bacterial small subunit ribosomal RNA", at positions 338 to 795 of the family's 1533-position model. The record is from RNAcentral.